Molecule: ribosomal RNA, 490 nt
Filed under: uncultured bacterium
Lineage: Bacteria
Description: partial 16S ribosomal RNA
Rfam family: Bacterial small subunit ribosomal RNA
Source: RNAcentral
AUUGAACGCUGGCGGCAGGCCUAACACAUGCAAGUCGAACGGUAACAGAAAGCAGCUUGCUGCUUUGCUGACGAGUGGCGGACGGGUGAGUAAUGUCUGGGAAACUGCCUGAUGGAGGGGGAUAACUACUGGAAACGGUAGCUAAUACCGCAUAACGUCGCAAGACCAAAGAGGGGGACCUUCGGGCCUCUUGCCAUCGGAUGUGCCCAGAUGGGAUUAGCUGGUAGGUGGGGUAACGGCUCACCUAGGCGACGAUCCCUAGCUGGUCUGAGAGGAUGACCAGCCACACUGGAACUGAGACACGGUCCAGACUCCUACGGGAGGCAGCAGUGGGGAAUAUUGCACAAUGGGCGCAAGCCUGAUGCAGCCAUGCCGCGUGUAUGAAGAAGGCCUUCGGGUUGUAAAGUACUUUCAGCGGGGAGGAAGGGAGUAAAGUUAAUACCUUUGCUCAUUGACGUUACCCGCAGAAGAAGCACCGGCUAACUCCGUG